UACGUAGGGGGCAAGCGUUGUCCGGAUUUAUUGGGCGUAAAGAGCGUGUAGGCGGCCAUGUAGGUCCGUUGUGAAAACUCGAGGCUCAACCUCGAGACGCCGAUGGAAACCAUGUGGCUAGAGUCCGGAAGAGGAGAGUGGAAUUCCUGGUGUAGCGGUGAAAUGCGCAGACAUCAGGAAGAACACCCGUGGCUAAGGCGGCUCUCUAGUACGGUACUGACGCUGAGACGCGAAAGCGUGGGGAGCGAACAGG
This 253-nucleotide ribosomal RNA is filed under the name uncultured bacterium. Its description in RNAcentral is "partial 16S ribosomal RNA". It matches the Rfam family "Bacterial small subunit ribosomal RNA", at positions 524 to 776 of the family's 1533-position model. The record is from RNAcentral.